UACGAAGGGUGCAAGCGUUACUCGGAAUUACUGGGCGUAAAGCGUGCGUAGGUGGUUUGUUAAGUCCGAUGUGAAAGCCCUGGGCUCAACCUGGGAACUGCGCUUGAAACUACGGAACUCGAGUAUGGCAGAGGAAGGUGGAAUUCCACGUGUAGCGGUGAAAUGCGUAGAGAUCAGGAGGAACACCCGUGGCGAAGGCGGCUCCCUGGUCCGUUACUGACGCUGAGACGCGAAAGCGCGGGGAGCGAACGGG
RNAcentral lists this ribosomal RNA (253 nucleotides) under uncultured bacterium. RNAcentral's name for it is "partial 16S ribosomal RNA". It matches the Rfam family "Bacterial small subunit ribosomal RNA", at positions 524 to 776 of the family's 1533-position model. The record is from RNAcentral.